RNAcentral lists this long non-coding RNA (1362 nucleotides) under Homo sapiens (human). Its description in RNAcentral is "HSALNT0394383". Lineage: Eukaryota; Metazoa; Chordata; Mammalia; Primates; Hominidae. The record is from RNAcentral.
UUUGUAUGUUUAUGAAGUUUAGGGGUGGCUGAAAGUCUCACAUUCUUCUAAGAGUAAAGUCUAAAUUGGAAAAUAGUAAAAAUUGCAUACUCACAAAAUUAGGCAUAUUCUAAAUCAUAGUAUAACUACAUCUUUAAUUAUGUCUCCCGAACAUUCAGUAGAAAAGGGAAAAUAACACUCAGAAUCCCAGUAGAUUUAGGAAGAGAGUUAGGAACAGAAGACAGUCUCCCUUUAGUUUUGCUCCUCUUUUAAAUAGUAGUGGUUUUUUAUGUGCCUUCCAGCUUCUCCCCCACUGUGCCCUUCUUCUUCCCACAGGUCUCCAGUCCCCAGAUUUCUGUGCAUCCUCUCUCAUGCAAAGAAGGCUGGAAGACAAACUUGUGAAGCUAGAGGGUGUUUUUACUAAACACUAAAGGAGUUUUACUAAAGGAGUUUCAAGUGAGUGCCAUGAAAAGACCUAAUUAUUCUUAAGGAGAAUGGUAUUUCUGUAUGUUCCUACACUUGAAUUUUGACAAUAUUUUUCUAUGAAGCAUCAGAGCUGUUCAAGCCACAAUUCCAAAAGGGUGUGUGCUUUUUUAGAUUUGAUACAUAAUAUUUUUGAAUAAAAGUAGGCUUUUUGCUGGGGCUAAAUAUUAAUAUUCUUUAACAAUCAUUCCAAUCCAUAGAGUGAGAUUACAAAAUCUUUACUAAGGAAAUUGCUUGUAAAGUGUAAUGUCAAACAAAUAUUAAUAACGUAAACACAUUAACUAUAUAUUGGUAAAUAAUGAGUGAUAUGGUAGAUAAAUGAAAAACAAAUGCUAUCGAUUAUGAUAUAGUUUUUAAUGACAUUCUUUUUUGGCUUGGAUAGGCUUUUCUAUUUUUUUUUUUAAACUUAUUUUGAGAUAAUUGUAGAUUUGCAUGCAGUUUUGAAAAAUAAUAAUACAUAAUAAUAAUACCAUAUUCCCUUUAUCCAGUUUCUCCCCAUGGUAAUAUCUUGCAUACCUACAGUACUGUAUCACAACUAGGAAAAUGACAUUGAUACUACCCGCUGCCAUUAUUUAGAUACUACCAGUUUUACAUGCACUCAUUUAUGCAUGUGUGUUAAUUCUAUGCAGUUUUAUUGUGUGUAUAGAUUCAUGUGACCACGCCACAGUCAACACACAGAACAGGUUUAUCACAAGGAUCCCUCCUGCCACCCUUUCAAAGCGAAAGCCACUUUCUUUCUGCUCCUCCCCCACCUCCCUAACCCCAGAAACCACUAAUUCUGUUCAUCUUUAUCAUUUUGUCAUUUCAAAAAUGUUAAAUAAAUGGAAGAAUCCACUAUUUAACCUUAUGAGAUUGGCUUUUUCAUUCAGUAUUAUUCCUCUGAGACAAUUCCAGUUGUUG